CCGUGACCCCAGGUCAGGCGGGAUCACCCGCUGAGUUUAAGCAUAUCAAUAAGCGGAGGAGAAGAAACUUAC
This 72-nucleotide ribosomal RNA is filed under the name Loxocarpus incanus var. sekayuensis. RNAcentral describes it as "partial 26S ribosomal RNA". It matches the Rfam family "Eukaryotic large subunit ribosomal RNA", at positions 1 to 69 of the family's 3401-position model. The record is from RNAcentral. Lineage: Eukaryota; Viridiplantae; Streptophyta; Magnoliopsida; Lamiales; Gesneriaceae.